AUUGAACGCUGGCGGCAGGCCUAACACAUGCAAGUCGAACGGUAACAGGAAGAAGCUUGCUUCUUUGCUGACGAGUGGCGGACGGGUGAGUAAUGUCUGGGAAACUGCCUGAUGGAGGGGGAUAACUACUGGAAACGGUAGCUAAUACCGCAUAACGUCGCAAGACCAAAGAGGGGGACCUUCGGGCCUCUUGCCAUCGGAUGUGCCUAGAUGGGAUUAGCUAGUUGGUGGGGUAACGGCUCACCAAGGGGACGAUCCCUAGCUGGUCUGAGAGGAUGACCAGCCACACUGGAACUGAGACACGGUCCAGACUCCUACGGGAGGCAGCAGUGGGGAAUAUUGCACAAUGGGCGCAAGCCUGAUGCAGCCAUGCCGCGUGUAUGAAGAAGGCCUUCGGGUUGUAAAGUACUUUCAGCGGGGAGGAAGGGAGUAAAGUUAAUACCUUUGCUCAUUGACGUUACCCGCAGAAGAAGCACCGGCUAACUCCGUGCCAGCCGCCGCGGUAA
Molecule: ribosomal RNA, 506 nt
Filed under: uncultured bacterium
Lineage: Bacteria
Description: partial 16S ribosomal RNA
Rfam family: Bacterial small subunit ribosomal RNA
Source: RNAcentral